AGAACGAACGCUGGCGGCAUGCCUAACACAUGCAAGUCGAACGUGAUCCGGGCUUCGGCCUGGUGAAAGUGGCAGACGGGUGAGUAACGCGUGGGAACCUGCCCUGUGGUAGGGAAUAACCGCGGGAAACUGCGGCUAAUACCCUAUGAGUCCUUCGGGAGAAAGAUUUAUCGCCAUAGGAGGGGCCCGCGUCGGAUUAGGUAGUUGGUGGGGUAACGGCCUACCAAGCCUUCGAUCCGUAGCUGGUCUGAGAGGAUGAUCAGCCACACUGGGACUGAGAUACGGCCCAGACUCCUACGGGAGGCAGCAGUGGGGAAUAUUGGACAAUGGGGGCAACCCUGAUCCAGCAAUGCCGCGUGGGUGAUGAAGGCCUUCGGGUUGUAAAGCCCUUUCGGCGGGGAAGAUGAUGACGGUACCCGCAGAAGAGCCCGGACUAACUUCGCGCCAGCAGCCGC
Molecule: ribosomal RNA, 455 nt
Filed under: uncultured bacterium
Lineage: Bacteria
Description: SSU rRNA
Rfam family: Bacterial small subunit ribosomal RNA
Source: RNAcentral